RNAcentral lists this ribosomal RNA (253 nucleotides) under uncultured bacterium. RNAcentral's name for it is "partial 16S ribosomal RNA". It matches the Rfam family "Bacterial small subunit ribosomal RNA", at positions 524 to 776 of the family's 1533-position model. The record is from RNAcentral.
UACGGAGGGAGCUAGCGUUGUUCGGAAUUACUGGGCGUAAAGCGUACGUAGGCGGUUACUCAAGUCAGAGGUGAAAGCCCGGGGCUCAACCCCGGAACUGCCUUUGAAACUAGGUAGCUAGAAUCUUGGAGAGGCGAGUGGAAUUCCGAGUGUAGAGGUGAAAUUCGUAGAUAUUCGGAAGAACACCAGUGGCGAAGGCGACGUCCUGGACCGGCAUUGACGCUGAGGCGCGAAAGCCAGGGGAGCAAACGGG